ACGAACGCUGGCGGCGUGCUUAACACAUGCAAGUCGUACGGUAAGGCCCUUUCGGGGGUACACGAGUGGCGAACGGGUGAGUAACACGUGAGUAACCUGCCCACAACUUUGGGAUAACGCUAGGAAACUGGUGCUAAUACUGGAUAUGUGUUCCUGCUGCAUGGUGGGGGUUGGAAAGCUCCGGCGGUUGUGGAUGGACUCGCGGCCUAUCAGCUUGUUGGUGGGGUAGUGGCCUACCAAGGCGGCGACGGGUAGCCGGCCUGAGAGGGUGACCGGCCACAUUGGGACUGAGAUACGGCCCAGACUCCUACGGGAGGCAGCAGUGGGGAAUAUUGCACAAUGGGCGCAAGCCUGAUGCAGCAACGCCGCGUGCGGGAUGACGGCCUUCGGGUUGUAAACCGCUUUCAGCAGGGACGAAGCUUUUUGUGACGGUACCUGCAGAAGAAGCACCGGCUAACUACGUG
Molecule: ribosomal RNA, 464 nt
Filed under: uncultured bacterium
Lineage: Bacteria
Description: partial 16S ribosomal RNA
Rfam family: Bacterial small subunit ribosomal RNA
Source: RNAcentral